CUCCCAAAAUCAAACCCAACCUUCCUUUUAUGGUCAUAAACCUUGUGUUUAAAUUUCAUAGAUUUCUAUUUACUUAUACUAAAGUUAUAGUGCGAAAACCAAAAAUAAUGUUUAUUUGGGCCCCUUUUUGGCCCCUAAUUCAUAAACUGUUGUGACCUCAACUCCAAAAAUCAAUCCCAACCUUCCUUUUGUGGUCAUAAACCUUGUGUUAAAAUUUCAUUGAUUUCUAUUUACUUAUAUACUAAAGUUAUUGUGCGAAAACCAAGAAUAAUGCUUAUUUGGGCCCUUUUUUGGCCCUUUAUUCCUAAACUGUUGGAACCAAAACUCCCAAAAUCAAUCCCAACCUUCCUUUUGUGGUCAUAAACCUUGUGUCAAAAUUUCAUAGAUUUCUAUUCACUUAAACUAAAGUUAUAGUGCGAAAACCAAGAAAAUGCUUAUUUGGGCCCUUUUUGGC
Molecule: long non-coding RNA, 454 nt
Filed under: Mytilus galloprovincialis (Mediterranean mussel)
Lineage: Eukaryota; Metazoa; Mollusca; Bivalvia; Mytilida; Mytilidae
Source: RNAcentral